RNAcentral lists this small nucleolar RNA (91 nucleotides) under Olea europaea subsp. europaea. Lineage: Eukaryota; Viridiplantae; Streptophyta; Magnoliopsida; Lamiales; Oleaceae. The record is from RNAcentral.
UAAAGGGCUGUGAUGAUUAAGAACUACCUACUUUCUGAGGGGAGUUCUUUCCCUUGAUUAUAAGAAACCAAUGGAUCCUCUGAGCCUGUUU